RNAcentral lists this ribosomal RNA (253 nucleotides) under uncultured bacterium. Its description in RNAcentral is "partial 16S ribosomal RNA". It matches the Rfam family "Bacterial small subunit ribosomal RNA", at positions 524 to 776 of the family's 1533-position model. The record is from RNAcentral.
UACGUAGGGAGCGAGCGUUAUCCGGAUUUAUUGGGUGUAAAGGGUGCGUAGACGGGCUUGUAAGUUAGUUGUGAAAUCCCUCGGCUCAACUGAGGAACUGCAACUAAAACUGUAAGUCUUGAGUGCAGGAGAGGUAAGUGGAAUUCCUAGUGUAGCGGUGAAAUGCGUAGAUAUUAGGAGGAACACCAGUGGCGAAGGCGACUUACUGGACUGUAACUGACGUUGAGGCACGAAAGUGUGGGGAGCAAACAGG